GCAUCAAUGGGGUAGUGGUAACCUGGGUCGUUGCCACUGGUAAUGGUCAUUUCGACCCGCCGCGAGUUCAAUUCUCGCUUGAUGCA
This is a non-coding RNA of Pleurotus pulmonarius, 86 nucleotides long. Lineage: Eukaryota; Fungi; Basidiomycota; Agaricomycetes; Agaricales; Pleurotaceae. The record is from the annotation of a GenBank genome assembly.